This is a non-coding RNA of Podarcis lilfordi (Lilford's wall lizard), 4988 nucleotides long. NCBI's taxonomy places the organism in Eukaryota, Metazoa, Chordata, Lepidosauria, Squamata, Lacertidae. The record is from the annotation of a GenBank genome assembly.
AAGGGUCUUGACAAUUAAUACAAGAAACCAGAAACCGUCCGAGCAGAGUAUGGGCCACACAGGAAUUGUGUGCUGGAAAUAGUUUGUUCCUAUCAACCCUCUAGGUUUCCAUCAGCUCGAGCCUCCAAAGUAGGCCCAAGUAUAGCCCCACAUAGAGCACAUUGCAAUAACUGAGUCCUGAGGUUUCCCGAGCCUGAAUCACCAUGGCUGUCCAUGAAUGGUCUAGCCAUAGCUAGUAAAUGGCACUCCUAGCCAGGAGACUUCCAAACUCCAAAACUCUUCUUUCAAAAGGAGUGUCACCCCAUCCAGGAAAGGCACAGGAACCAUCAACCCACAAUGCCUCCAUCUUCCCAGGGUAGUAAUAGGAAGUAAUAGGAAGUUUCUAAUUAAUCCUGGGUGUCAGCGCUAAAAUAUCACAAGGUACUGAGAGAAUGGGGUUAUGGGAAGCCCUAAACAAAAUAAUGGUGGCUUAUCCUAUUAAGAACAUCAAAAGAACAUCAUUUCUAAGCCCCUGUUACCAGCUGACCAUGUCUCCUGUAAACAUUAAUCCAUAAUCUCAGGUAUUUUGUAAGCAAAAUUAACUAGCUAAUUAACAGUGCAAACCUUUACAUGUCUACACAAAAGUAACUUCCAUUAUGUUCAACUGCUUAGCACAGGAAAUUCAUAGUUACGGUAAUAUAUAGAAGAGUUGUGUUAUAAAGGAAAAUCCCCUCUAUAACAACAACAAAAAAAUCUAUUAUGAAAGAAAAACCCAACACUGGAGCAAAAACUAAAAAAGAGUUGAGCUACAGAAAACGAAGAGUGCAAGGGUGCAACGACACCUACUGGUAGUAUUAGGUCACUGCAGUUAAGUUUACCAGCGCUGGGAUGUUUUUUUUCAUUUUUUUUCCUAAUUACAUUGCAGCCAGAAGGUAGCAAGUCUGCUACAUCCAUCUGCAACUGAUGGUUACUGACAGGCUCAUGGUAGGGAAGUGACAAUCAGAAGUGUCAGGGAUUUGAAGAGCAGGCGGUGAGCAAUCAGCAAAUUUGGUGCUGCAAGAGCAAAGUAUGUCGAUUUUGAAAUUCACAAGUGUAUUCAAAAGUGGCUUGGUGUUUUUUUGUUUUUCUAAAAUAGUGCAGCAUUUCCAGAGGCAAUAAAGAAUUCUGAACCAGGAUUAAAGGCAAGGUGAUCUGGCUGUCUAAUAUAUAAAACUAGAUGCAACCUAUGCCCCAAUGUGAUUUAUGGCUUGAGAGAGUUGACAAGCGAAUGACUCCACAACAGCACCAAGAGAGAAAUAUUUUUGCAGGAAAGGAGAAAGGUGGGAAUUAAUCAACCACCACCAUGGAUCAAAGAGCUGUGAAACCCUUCAUGACGGCACACAAAGGAAUUGAUGACAGCCAUUCACAGGGAGACGGUUAAGACUACUUUUCAAAAAUGGAUUUAUAGCCUGAUGUUAUAAAUCCAUUUUGAGCUAUGGUGGCUCAGCCAGAAGCAGCCAGAGAGUUGGCAUUUCCCUAUGUUCCUCUGCUGCAUCUCAACGCUUGCUUACUCAACGGUAGGUCCCACUGAACUGAGUGGGCCACUUUUAGGGCUUUUAAUAGUGCUGUUUUAACUGUCUGCAUUUUAAUGAAUUUAUUUUUUAUGCUGUUUUUUAUAAUUUAUUUGCUUUUUAACUAUUAUCUUGUCUAUGUUUUUAGCUUUCUGUAUGUUAUCUGUGUUGUUCUAGUUUUUUUUAAGCUGCCUUGAGUCCUGGUCUGGGAGAAAGGCAGGAUAUAAAUAAAUAUGGAUAUAAUCAUAAUAAGUACAGCAGCAGCUCUACCCUGUCAGGUGAGCAACCUCUGUCCAGUCCUGUAUUUUCUGCACAUGAGGUGGUGCCAUCUUUCCUCACUUUCCCUAGUGGCCUUGGGACCAUGAGGAUCACACAGUGUGGAUUAUCAUUAUGAAUGGCCCCGCUGGACCAGUGCAACCCCCCAGUGGGUGCGAGGUAGGGAGCCCAACACUAGAUGCUUUUCAACAUCUACAUGCAGCCGCUGGGAGAGAUCAUCAGGGGGUUUGGGCUGGGUGUCCAUCAAUAUGUGGAUGAUACCCAGCUCUACCUCUCUUUCAAAUCAGAACAAGUGAAGGCGGUGAAGGUCCUGUGUGAGUGUUUGGAGGCAGUUGGAGGAUGGAUGGUGGCUAACAGAUUGAGGUUGAAUCCUGACAAGACAGAAGUACUGUUUUGGGGGGACAGGGGGUGGGUGGGUGUGGGGGACUCCCUGGUCCUGAAUGGGGUAACUGUGCCCCUGAAGGACUAGGUGCGCAGCCUGGGAGUCAUUUUGGACUCACAGCUGUCCAUGGACGCGCAGGUCAAUUCUGUAUCCAGGGCAGCUGUCUACCAGCUCCACCUGGUACGCAGACUGUCUCGCCGGAGUGGUGCAUGCUCUGGUUAUCUCCCGCUUGGACUACUGCAAUGCGCUCUACAUGGGGCUACCUUUGAAGGUGACCCGGAAACUACAACUAAUCCAGAAUGCGGCAGCUAGACUGGUGACUGGGAGCAGCUGCAGAGACCACAUAACACUGGUCUUGAAAGACCUACAUUGGCUCCCAGUACGUUUCUGAGCAGAAUUCAAAGUGUUGGUCUGACCUUUAAAGCCCUAAAUGGCCUCAGUCCAGUAUAGCUGAAGGAGCAUCUCCACCCCCAUCAUUCUGCCCGGACACUAAGAGAAGCCAAGUUACAGGGAACCAGGCAGAGGGCCUUCUCUGUAGUGGCACCCGCCCUGUGGAACGCCCUCCCACCAGAUGUCAAAGACAACAACAACUACCAGACUUUUAGGCGACAUUUGAAGGCAGCCCUGUUUAGGGAAGCUUUUAAUGUUUGAUGCAUUAGAGUAUUUUAAUAUUGUGCUGGAAGCUGCCCAGAGUUGUUAUUAUUAUUAUGGAGCCAGAGGCAAUGGGAGGCAGAGCCAACUAAUUCUAGCCUCCUCUUCCCUGACAAAUUCUACAAAGGCCACAUGGAGACUAAGGAGGAGGGAAGCUGGAAGCGGAUGGGAGCUGCCUGAGGGCUAACUGAAGUUAGCAGGGCAGUGUCCCAGUUGCACUACUAGACCAGCCUGCCCUCUCACCUCCAUUAUCUUAUGAAUCCUGCUCGACCACACCGCUAUGCAAUGCUGCCACAGGAAGAUAACCUUCAGCCUAAGCAGCCUUCACCAGCAGUGCUGACCAGGGCUGAUGGGAGUUGUAGUCCGACAACAUCUGAAAGGCACUGAGUUGGUGAAGGUUGGCCUGCAACUUCCAUGACUUGAUCCAGACAUCCUUCCUGAAAUAUUAAGGGCCUGAGAAACCAAAACACCAGGCGACAGCAGAGUCUCCUGUCCUGGUGCUUCAAAGAUCCACUUGACCCAUAUCCCACCUUUCCCCAAGGAGCUCAAGGUGGUGUGCAUGGUUCUCGUCCUCUUCAUUUUACCCUCACAACGACCCUCUUGACCCUGAGAGAUUGUGACUGGCCCCAGGUCACCCAGUGAAGUUCAUGGCUGAGCAGGUCAUUGAACCCUGGCUUGCAGGUCCUAGUCCAACGCGCUUAACCACAUUUAAUCCUGAGCCGCCAACACAAUGCAGUGGAUCGUAAGAAUCAGCUGUGCCAUUUUAUGAGCAACGCCCUGUGUAACAUUGGGAAAUUGUCCUCCUAAGGGCAUAAUGGGGUUGGGCAGUUAACAAAGGAUAGUUAUUCAAAUUAGCACCUAUUGCCUGCAAUACUAGAAACGUCAACAAGGAUACAGUGUUGAAUGCAAUCCCAGAAAUAAAUCCCCAACCCUGCCCCACCAGGUGACUCUGAAAUCGGAAUUGAAUCCAGCUUGUGGGGUGGGGUGUGGGGGAGGCAGCCAGAGAAUGAGACCCUUGGAAGGAAGAAUCAAAAGAGCACAGCCCCAUCCCUCAUGCCAACAAACACUAUACACAUCCAGGAAUCUUUUGCCCACUGUGGGGCUCAAACCCACAACAAGGGGCUCCCCACUAUAAUCCUCACAACAAUCUUAUAAUGUAGGUCAGUAUUAUUCUGUAGCAGUGUAGGGACGGAGACAGUGGCUUGCCUAAGGGCAACGAAAGAGUUAACAAAUGAUGUGAGAUGUGAACUGCUCAGCCUCACAGAAGCCUUUGGGCAAAGCAGAGCUUUUGGAUGGGCUUUUACAAACUGUUCUCAAAUACGUUUCUCUGGUAAGGUUGCUUUUUUUAAAUAGUUUAUUGAAAGAGUGGUUUUGUUUGUUUGUUUUUAGGAUGGUUCAAGUGUCUUGCAUUUGCCCUUACGAAAGAGAGAGGGUGCGGGAACGAGAUGAUCCUUGUGGUCCCUUCCAACUCUACAAUUCUAUGAAUGCUCAAAGCACUGCAUCCAGGGUGGCCCUCCAGGUGUGAUUGGGCUACAAUUCCCAUCAUCCCAGGCCACUUUCCAUGCUGGCUGGGGCUGAUGAUAAGCUGGAAACCAAGAGCAUCUCAAAGGCCACAGGCACCCCAUUCUUGCACUCUGAAAAUGCUCAUGGUUGCUACGAAAAAAAGCUGACCAGCCAUUAUCAUGAACAAUGAUCUUCAGCAUUGUAUUUCCUUUUUAAUUGAGCAUUUUGACAAACGUUGCCUCAAAAGGAAGGUUGGCUGCCAUUUCCUCCCCCAAUAAUUUGUGUGCAUGUUUAAACCCUUCUCUUUUCAGCUGUGCAAGGGGGAAAGCUAAUCCAAUACGGCUCUAUGUCAGUGCUUAGAAUCAUUCAUUUAACAAGACAGUCUUUUCCACGAAUUAAUUAACUGGAUGUUCCCUCUCUGUUCCACCAAAUAUGAUGGCUAUUCCUCAUUCAGCAGCAUGAAGAGUUUCCUCACCGUUGCCUAGCUUCUAAAAGUGCAGCCCAAGCAGAUGAUUGUUCUCAGAGAGUGGAGGUGAAUGAGGGCAACUGUCCUACAUCUGACCUUGAAGAAGGGAGCAUGACAAAUAAUAUGUCUCGGCUUGUCUGACAGAUCUUAAUUUAAUGAAAUAAAAUCCACAGCGCAUGCU